RNAcentral lists this ribosomal RNA (468 nucleotides) under uncultured Rikenellaceae bacterium. RNAcentral's name for it is "bacterial SSU rRNA". It matches the Rfam family "Bacterial small subunit ribosomal RNA", at positions 916 to 1381 of the family's 1533-position model. The record is from RNAcentral. Lineage: Bacteria; Pseudomonadati; Bacteroidota; Bacteroidia; Bacteroidales; Rikenellaceae.
GACGGGGCCCGCACAAGCGGUGGAGCAUGUGGUUAAUUCGAUGAUACGCGAGGAACCUUACCUGGGCUAGAACGCCGUUGGAAAGGCCCUGAAAGGGGUCCGCCCGCGAGGGCCGGCGGCGAGGUGCUGCAUGGUUGUCGUCAGCUCGUGCCGUGAGGUGUCGGGUUAAGUCCCAUAACGAGCGCAACCCCUACUGCUAGUUGCCAGCGCGUCAAGGCGGGGACUCUAGCGGAACUGCCGGCGUAAGCCGUGAGGAAGGUGGGGAUGACGUCAAAUCAGCACGGCCCUUACGUCCAGGGCUACACACGUGUUACAAUGGCCGGUACAGAGGGCAGCCACCCCGCGAGGGGGCGCGAAUCCUCAAAGCCGGUCCCAGUUCGGAUCGGGGUCUGCAACCCGACCCCGUGAAGCUGGAUUCGCUAGUAAUCGCGCAUCAGCCACGGCGCGGUGAAUACGUUCCCGGGCCUU